Molecule: long non-coding RNA, 5123 nt
Filed under: Homo sapiens (human)
Lineage: Eukaryota; Metazoa; Chordata; Mammalia; Primates; Hominidae
Description: non-protein coding lnc-CEP170-13:5
Source: RNAcentral
GAGCUGGGCGGUCUUCUCGUCAGAGUGGGGACUGGUGAGAGCGACCUCCCCGCCAGGUCCUGUGUGUUGCCGGCUGAAGAAGGGUAGCUGAAAAAUUCAGACCCAGCACAGUGUUUAUGUUGGUCAAAAAUAGAAAACUAUGGCGCGGCCGAGGCGGGAGGACCCUUCAGGCCAAGAGCAGCCUAGCAACAUGGCGCAACCCCAUCUCUGUAGUCCUACCUCAGCCCCCCAGCUACUUGAACCCAAAGAUUCAAGGCUCCAGUGAGCUAUGAUCCCACCACAGCAUUCCAGCCUGCGAGAUUGAGAUGAUGAUUAUUCCCCACCUUCUAAGAGACAAAGACCAACGAGCCACCACAGCCACCAGUCCCAGAACCCGCCAAUGCUGGGGAACGGAAAAUGAGGGAGUUCAACUCUGAGAAAUGGAAUAAUCGUAUCGCUGAUCUAUGUAAACAAAUUGAAGAAUUGUCUGAAAGAAAAUAUGGUAUGUCUAAACUGGAAAAGUCCUGUAAUCUUAUGUUCAUGGGCGUUUACACAAUGGAGUUACUGUUCAUCAUGGGGGUACCGUGGACAAGCCCAGGGCUGCCGGCGAGUCAUGCCAUCCUUACACGUUUCUCCUUGUAAGACAUGAACUUAUGAAUUCAACAGGUGAAGAUUUACAACUUGAUAAAUCAGCUUUGUGAGCUCGAGCUGUAAAAGCCAAAGGUCCGGUGAUGAUCCCAUACCCUUUUUUCCAGUCUCAUGUUGAAGAUUUUUAUGUAGAAGGCCUUCCCAAAGGAAUUUUUUUUUUUUUUUUGAGAUGGAGUUUUCACUCUUAUCGCCCAGGCUGGGGGGCAAUGGCGCAACCUUGCUGGUCACUGCAACCUCUGCCUCCUGGGUUCAAGAAAUUCUCCUGCCUUAGCCUCCCAAGUCACUGGGAUUACAGGUGCCCACCACCACACGAGGCUAAUUUUUGUAUUUUUAGUGGAGAUGGGGUUUCACCAUGUUGGCCGGGCCAGUCUCGAACUCCUGACGUCAAGUGAUCUUCCCGCCUCGACUCCUGACAUCAAGUGAUCUUUCCGCCUCGGCCUCCCAGAGUGCUGAGAUUACAGACGUGAACCCAUGCCUGGCCAGGAAUUUUGUUUUUCAGGAAGGCUUUCUACUAAUGGAAUUCCUGGCCUUGAGAGGAUGUUACUUUCGAAGGAAAGGAUUUUUUUGUUAUUAAAAGAGCCACCUAAGCUGAAGAUUCCCUUGAGAACAAGUACUGUCCUGCGGUUUCAUGGCCCUUCUUCCAUUUGUGGUUCUUGCGAAGUGGAAUUUAAAUGACAUCUUAUCAAGAUGGAUAAACCCUAGUUUCCCAGUGCUGGAAUAUAGAAAAUGGAUGGACAAGUAAAUCCCACUCAGCACCCAUAGUCCAGGCAUGGGGACCUCAACACACCUGAGCCCCAGACAUCACCUUUCAUUCUGGACCUACCAUGAAAGACUUCUGAAUCCAGGAAGAGAAACUGACUGGGCAACAUGUUAUUCAGAAACAGGACCUUGCCCUGUCACUCAGGAUGGAGUUCAGUGGUCCUAUCAUGGCUCAUUAUAGCCUCAAACUCCCAGGCUCAAGCAAUCCUACCAUGUCAGCCUUCCCAGUAGCUGGGACUACAGGCUGGAGUACAGUGGCACAACCUCUGCUCACUGCAGCCUCCACCUGCCAGGCUCAAGCAAUUCUCCUGCCUCAGCCUCCCGAGUAGCUGGGAUUACAGGAAGUGACCGCACAAUGACUCAAGCUACCACAUACUGUUGAUUGUGAAAUGCCAGUUGAAGCAUAUGUCCUGCGAGCUUAGGGGUGCUACAAGUUGACCACUGCAGCAGUAAAGAUGACUCUGAAGAAUGGCGUGGGAUGGAUCCUUUCGAAUGCAUUUGAGCAGCGGUCUCCAACCACAGGGCCACAGAGCUGGAGCUGGAUCUACCAUGAAAGACUUCUGAAUCCAGGAAGAGAGACUGACUGGGCAACAUGUUAUUCAGGGUCUCCCUCUGUUGUCCAAGGCUGGAGUGUAGUAGUGCUAUCACAGCUGACUGCAGCCUCAACCUUCCAGGCUGAAGCGAUCCUCCCAUCUCAACCUCCCACGUGGCUGAGACUACAGGUGCUUGCCACUAUGCCCAACUAAUAUUUGGAAUUUUUGUAUACGUGGAUUCCAGAGGGGUGACAGCGAAACGUGGGACCAUCCAGUUGCAGGAAAACAAGCUUAACACGCCCACUGAUUCUACAUUAUGCUCCUACCUCCUGGCAGCCUCUCCAGGCCCAGAACUUUCUCCAGUCAGCCUCUACAGACCAAGCUCAUGACUCACAAUGGCCUAUUUAGGCCCAUACCCUACGUCACGGCAGUCUCCGCAGAUGAGGCUACUGCCUCACAACAGCCUCCACAGGCACAGCUCCAUCGUUACAAUGGCCUCUUUAGACCCAGCUCCUGCCUCCCAGCCUUCUCUCCAGGCCCUGAACUUUCUCAAGUCGACCUCACCAGGCCCAGCUCAUGCUUCUUUGCAGCCUCUCCAGGCCCAGCUCCUGCAUCUUGGUGGCCCCUCCAGGCCCAGCCUCUGCCUCCCGUCGGCCUCUACAGUCCCAACAUCUGUCUCACAGCAGAUUCUUCAGGCCCAGCAUCUGCCUCACUGUGGACCCCCCAAGCCAAGCUCCCAACCUUUCAGCAGCUUCUACACACCCAGCUCCUGCCACCCAGUGGCUUCUUUAGGCCAAGCUCAUGCUUCACAAGGGCCUUUCCAGGCCCAACUUUUGUCUCAUGGCAACCUUCCCUGGCCAGAUUCCUGCCUGUCUCCCAGCAGCCUAGACAGGCCCAGGUCUUGCCUCACACUGGCCUCUCUACAUCCAGCUUAUGCCUCACGGUGGCCUCUCCAGGCCCAACUCCUGUCCCAGGACGUCAUCUCCGGGCCCAAAACUUACUCAAGUCAGACUCUCUAGUCCCAACUGCUGCCUCCUGGUGGCCUAUGAAGGCCCAAAAUCUCCUCAAGUUGGCCUCUCCAGGCCCAGCUCCUGCCUCCUGUCAGCGUCUAGAGGCCCAACCUCUGCCUCAUGGGGGCUUCUCCAGGCCCACCUCUUCCUCUUGGCUGGGUCUACAGGCACAACUGCUGCCUCACAACAGCCUUUUUUGGCCCAGUUCCUGUCCAGCUCAUGGCGGCCAAUGUAGGCCCAAAACUUCCUCAAGUCAAACUCUCCAGGCCCACCUUCUGCUUCCCGGUGGCAUGAACCGGCCCAGCUUUGACUUGAGAACAGCCUCUGCAGGCCCUGCUCUUGCCUCCCAGGGGCUUUUUCCAGGCCCAGCUCUUGCCUCAUGGCAGCUGCCCCAGGCCGAAUUUCUGCCUGCCUGCCAGCAGCCUCAACAGGCACAGCUCCUCCCUCACAGUGGCCCAUUUAGGCCCAACUCAUGACUGUCAGGCCAUUUCCAGGCCUAGUGCCUGCCUCGUGGCUGACUCUUGAAGCCCAAAACUUCCUCAAAUCAGCCUUUUGCCCAACUUCUGUCUACUGUCGGACUCUACAGGCCAGCCUCUGCCUCACAGUGGACCCUCCAGACCCAGAUGGUGUCUCACUGUGGCAUCCUCAGGUGAAGCUCCUGCCUUUCGGCAGCCUCUCCAGGCCCAGCUCCUCCUGCCUCCCAGUGGCCUCUUUCGGCCCAGCCCAGCUCAUGCCUCCCGGCGGCCUUCCCAAGCCCCGCUUUUGACUUUCCACCGAAAGUCCCAGCCUCCUGCCUCCCGAAGGCCUGCACAGGCCCAGCCUCUGCCUCACAGCGGACUCUCCUCGCCCAGCUAGCUGUCGCCUCACUGCGGCCUCCCGAGUCCAAAGUUCCUGCCUCUCGGCCGCUUCGGCAGGCCCAGCUCCCGCCUGCCAGUGGCCUCUUCAGGCCCAUGGGGCUCAUUCCUCACAACGGCCUUUCCAGGCCCAGUUUUUCCCUUCCGGCGGCCUCUCCGGGCCCAGAACCUCCUCAAGUCGGCCUCUCCAGACCCACUUGCAUCCUCCGGGCGUCCUCUCCGGGCCCAGCUCUUCUUCCUGGUUGCGUUUCCAGGCCCGACUCCUGCCUCUCAACAACCUCUUUGGACUCAGUGCCUACCCAUCUCCUGGCGGCAUUGGUCGGCCCACAGCUUCCUCAAGCCAAGCUCCCGAGGCCCAGGUCAGGCCUCACGGUGGCCUCUCCAGGAUGAGCUGCUGCCCUCCGAUGGCAUCUCCAGGCCCCAAAUGGUCUCCGGUCGGUGGGCUCCUCCAUGCCACUGCUGCAUGCCACUGCUUGGGCCUCCAUCCCAGCGACUGCUGCAGGCCCAAGUUGUCCUGAAGUCGGCCUCUCCCGGCCCUGCCUCCCAGCAAGUAAGCAAGCUCUUUUGGCUCAACUGCCCAGCUCCCAACCGCCUUUCUAGGCCCCGAACUUUCUGCAGCCAAGCUCUGAGGGCCCACCUCCUGCCUCCCGGUGGCCUGUACAGGCCCAGCACUGGUUGGAGAACAGCCUCUGCAGGCCCCGCCCUUGCCUCCCAGGUGCCUCUCCAGGCCCAGCUCUUGCCCCCACGGCGGCCUCCUGGGGCCAAGUCCCUGCCUGCCUCCCAGCAGCCCGCGUGCGGCCCAGCUCCUCCCUCACGGUGGCCUGUUGAUGCCCAACUCAUGCCUCUGGCACCCUGCCCAGAGGCGUGAGCCCCUUGCCUCACACCGGCUCCUCCCACGCGGACAGAGGUCAGCGUGAGCCCUUGCCUCAACAGGCCACCGUGAGGGAGGAGCAGGGUCGCACGCGGGCUGCUGGGAGGUAGGCAGGGACUUGGGCCUGGGAGGUCGCGGUGGGGCGAGAGCUGGGCCUGGAGACUCCCCUGGGAGGCAACAGCGGGUUUUGCAGACGCUCUUCUCCAGCCGGAGCUGGGACUGUUCAGUCACUGGGAGAAGGGAUGUGGGUCUGAAGAGCUUGGUUGCAGAAACUUCGGGGUCUACAAAGGCCGGCGGGAGCUGAGCCAAAAGAGCUUGUUUGCUGGGAGGCGGGAGAUGCAGCCAGGAGGAACAGCUGGGCCAUGCGGGAGGCAGAGGCCGGGCCUCCUCAAGUCGGCCUCUCAGACCCACUUGGCAGCCUCCCGGCGUCCUCUCCGGGCCCAGCUCUUCCUCCCGGCUGCGUCUCCAG